UAGCCGUAAGCGAUACUCGCUAGGUGUCGGCCACGGUGCGACCGUUGUCGGUGCCGUAGGGAAGCCGUGAAGCGAGCCACCUGGGAAGUACGGCCGCAAGGCUGAAACUUAAAGGAAUUGGCGGGGGAGCACAACAACGGGUGGAGCUUGCGGUUUAAUUGGAUUCAACGCCGGAAAUCUUACCGGGACCGACAGCAACAUGAAGGCCAAGCUGAAGACUUUGCCGGAUUAGCUGAGAGGAGGUGCAUGGCGUAGUCGUGU
Molecule: ribosomal RNA, 261 nt
Filed under: uncultured archaeon
Lineage: Archaea
Description: partial 16S ribosomal RNA
Rfam family: Archaeal small subunit ribosomal RNA
Source: RNAcentral